Molecule: small nucleolar RNA, 121 nt
Filed under: Echinops telfairi (small Madagascar hedgehog)
Lineage: Eukaryota; Metazoa; Chordata; Mammalia; Afrosoricida; Tenrecidae
Description: Small nucleolar RNA SNORA61 (ENSETEG00000026358.1)
Source: RNAcentral
AGCUCUCUGCUCCCUUCCCCAUCGGAUCUAGACACUGGUCUGAGUGGUUACAAAGCAAAGACAAGUACAGAUGAGACGGACUUCAGUGCUUUUGUGGCACAUGGACCAGUUACAAACAAAC